This is a non-coding RNA of Anolis sagrei ordinatus, 2066 nucleotides long. Lineage: Eukaryota; Metazoa; Chordata; Lepidosauria; Squamata; Anolidae. The record is from RefSeq and is a predicted model, not a curated record.
GAAAUGGGAAGAUCAAGGAAAUUGGACUAUUCAAUCUCAGAUCUACUCUUGGACUAGUUGUGGUAGCUACUUUGGAAUCUUCUUCCAUGGAAACAAAUUUAUAGCAAGAGAGGAACAAAGUAUCUCUAGAGGUGAUGGGAUGUUGCUAUUUGGUCCCUUUUAUAUAACUUUUGGUCAAGGAUUCUCCCAUGCUGGUUCAGAGGAAGAUGCUGGAAAGAUAGGUCUUCUGAAAGAAAAACAAUAGUUUGGUAUCUCCAGCUCCAGAAAUGUGCUGAGAUUCCAUGCUAACAGUUCUUUCUCUAUAAGAGAAGAGUGGAAGGGCUACCAAGUAUUUCCUUGUCUUCUAAUUUCUUAAAUACAUUAAACAAAGUAUGUCUUCAGAUUUUAGGAAUAAGUCCAAGAAAAAGUGUCCAAGCCUAAAUACUAUGAAGAUGCUUCAUCCCCUCUAAUCCAGGAGACUAAGCUUAGUAUCGGAAGGACUAUCAAUGGUGUUAUAUACGAUACUGCAGAGAAAGAAAAUGACAAACUAUCUCUGAGUGUUCCUUGAGUAUUCCUUGUCUAAAACAGCCUUACACAAUGGGAUUUCCUUAGGCACAUACAAGAGAGAGGAACUGAGAGCAGCUUGUAUAGCUUCUGUCCGUGCCUCUGAUUAUUAUCUUACCUAGAUGUGCAUACAACCCACUCAUCCUAGGAAGGCAAUAUUUGCUUCACCUCUACUUCUGAGGCAUCUCCAAAGCUGCAUUUAUUUUGUUAAAUAAAUUGAUGGUAGCACCAAUGUUCUUUGAAGAUCCCAAAGAAUCAGGUGCAAGAUAUAUGUGGAGUUUGUUUCCGAAAGGUACCAAAUCGGAAAAAAAAUUGAAAAAGAGUUAUAGAUGGCAGCAGCACAUUGUUGGCUAGGAGUAGAAUAUUAUGUACAGAUCAAACCUAUCAAACUGCAUUAAAUCACUUGAGGACAGGGGCCUGGAAAACUGCAUUUUACAUCAAAUGAAUGCAUAUCUUCAGCACUUAUUUAUUAUUCCACUAAAAUCGUUUAGGUGGAUUUGGUACUUUUUUUGGAAACAAACUCCACAUAUGUUCUUGUGCAAUUCUGCUUUAUUCUCAACACACAGAUGUGAAAUUAAAAGUGUCAGAAUUUGCUCUCUGGGUUGGAUAGGACACCUAGAUCACACAAGGUUUCCCACUAGAAGGCAGGGGCAAGGAUAGCAAUGUUUACUGUUUCCUCUGUUGCUUUGGGUGAUCUUACCAAGCACUUAGGUUUGCAAGGAGAAAUUGCAAAUACACCCCCAAUCCCUUCAACCAGUUAAAGUUGUAUGGUAAGAAGUAAGAACUAUUUUGGAUUUAACGAGUUGUUAACAUAGGAAAGCCCUUGAAAUCAAAUUGCUGAGUGUAGUUUAGGGUGCAAGUGCUUGAAGUUGCAUUUCUUCUCACCACACUUUCACAUUUUGUUCAUAGACCGUUAUAUUCUCACCUGUCCCGAAACCUCUCCAAGAUAUGUGAGGGUUUCCCAUAUAACAUUCAGCUUUGGACAGAUACAAAUGGGUGAAAUGUGUUUUCAAACUCUGUGAUGUAAUAUAUCCAUCUCUCCAAAAUUGCCUCCGAAGUCCACGAAAUUCAUUCCCAAUGACUUCCAUUAGCAGGGCCCUGCUGCCUUAGGAAUCUAAAGAGAUGCUGCACCAGCCCUUAGAGCAGCGAAGGAGUAAAGAUAGAAAAUAGCAUACCUCCUGUUUCCUGCAUUUGAAAUAUGUAAAAUGCUUAACUUUUUCCACUAACAAAUCAGUGGGGACUGGAUGGCGAGGAUCUCUUUUACAUUAAAUACAAAUAAUCCAAAUCGGGUAUUAUUAUUAUUAUUAUUAUUUCUUUCUGCACUGAUUACAAUUGUGUCCCAUGGACACCUGGUGGAUCCUUAUGUAAAGUUUCCCCCAUCCCAUACACAAUAAGAGUUUGUGAUCUGACUUGAUAUAUGGCUAUUUGAAUUACAGGGGAAAAAAAGGUUUGUAUUAUUUCAUUUACUGUGUACAGGUGUCUGUAAUAUAUAUUCAUGAUAAUAAAUACAUGCUCCAGCAUUA